UACAGAGGUCCCAAGCGUUGUUCGGAUUUACUGGGCGUAAAGGGUGCGUAGGUGGCGGGGUAAGUCUGGUGUGAAAGCUCCGAGCUCAACUCGGAAAAGCAUUGGAAACUAUCCCGCUUGAGGGUCGGAGGGGAGACUGGAAUUCUCGGUGUAGCAGUGAAAUGCGUAGAUAUCGAGAGGAACACCAGUGGCGAAGGCGGGUCUCUGGGCAACUACUGACGCUGAUGAGCGAAAGCGUGGGGAGCGAACAGG
Molecule: ribosomal RNA, 252 nt
Filed under: uncultured bacterium
Lineage: Bacteria
Description: partial 16S ribosomal RNA
Rfam family: Bacterial small subunit ribosomal RNA
Source: RNAcentral